Molecule: ribosomal RNA, 468 nt
Filed under: uncultured bacterium
Lineage: Bacteria
Description: partial 16S ribosomal RNA
Rfam family: Bacterial small subunit ribosomal RNA
Source: RNAcentral
GACGAACGCUGGCGGCGUGCUUAACACAUGCAAGUCGAACGGAAAGGCCCUGCUCUUGUGGGGUGCUCGAGUGGCGAACGGGUGAGUAUCACGUGUGUAACCUGCCCUUGACUGUGGGAUAACUUCACGAGACUGCGGCUCAUACCGGAUAGGAGCUCCUGCUGCAUGGUGUGGGUUGGAAAAUUUCGGCGGUUGUGGAUCGACUAGAGGGUUAUGAGCUGCUUGGUGAAGUAGUGGCUUACCAAGCCUUUGACGGGUAGCCGGCCUGAGAGCGUGACCGGCCACAUGGCGACUACGAUAGGGACCAGACGCCUACGGGAGGCAGCAGUGGGGAAUAUGGCACAAUGGGCGGAAGCGUGAGGCAGCAACGUCGCGUGCGGGAUGCCGGGCUUCGGGUGGUAAACAGCUUUCGCCUGAGACGAAGCGUGAGUGACGGUACUUGGUAAAGAAGCACCGGCUAACUACGUG